This 410-nucleotide ribosomal RNA is filed under the name uncultured bacterium. Its description in RNAcentral is "partial 16S ribosomal RNA". It matches the Rfam family "Bacterial small subunit ribosomal RNA", at positions 355 to 755 of the family's 1533-position model. The record is from RNAcentral.
UGGGGAAUUUUGGACGAAUUGGGCGAAAGCCGAUCCAGCAAUGCCGCGUGUGUGAAGAAGGCCUUCGGGUUGUAAAGCACUUUUGUCCGGAAAGAAAUCCUUGGCUCUAAUACAGUCGGGGGAUGACGGUACCGGAAGAAUAAGCACCGGCUAACUACGUGCCAGCAGCCGCGGUAAUACGUAGGGUGCAAGCGUUAAUCGGAAUUACUGGGCGUAAAGCGUGCGCAGGCGGUUUGCUAAGACCGAUGUGAAAUCCCCGGGCUCAACCUGGGAACUGCAUUGGUGACUGGCAGGCUAGAGUAUGGCAGAGGGGGGUAGAAUUCCACGUGUAGCAGUGAAAUGCGUAGAGAUGUGGAGGAAUACCGAUGGCGAAGGCAGCCCCCUGGGCCAAGUACUGACGCUCAUGCACG